This 602-nucleotide long non-coding RNA is filed under the name Cricetulus griseus (Chinese hamster). RNAcentral describes it as "lncRNA (ENSCGRG00000024624.1)". Lineage: Eukaryota; Metazoa; Chordata; Mammalia; Rodentia; Cricetidae. The record is from RNAcentral.
CCAGGCAGGAAGUAACAUAGCAGGCCAACUCAGAAUAUAAGCAGGAAAUCGCUCUCUUCCUCUUCUAACUGCUCUCUUCUGUACGGAGCUGCCAUGUGAUCCCAGAAAGAGAAUACCAGCAGAAGGCAUCCACAAUAAGAUAAGUCUUAUAAAAUAUACAGAUUUAUGAUAAUUAAGUAUGAGAUAAAGUAUAAGAAAUCCUAGUCAAUUGGCCAGCAGAAUUUGAAACUAAUAUAAAUCUCUGUCUGUUAUUUGGGGCCCUAACACAGCAGAUGGCACUCGGGGGGCUGGAGGAAAGACUUAUCAUUACAGAGAUGGAUGCUUUCUACUAUUUUAUAAGAAGACAGCAGAGAACCAAUCAAGAUGGAGAAGAGACAUGGAUGACAAACAGGUUUUUUCCACAUUUUGCUGAAACCACCAUCUGCAUACUCUCAACUGCAGAUUUACCAGAUUGGUUAAUUUUACACUACUGGUUCAUCUCAACUGUGUCCAGCCACAUGUGAUUUACAGCUGUCAUAUGAAACAGUGCAACUUUACAGGUAUGAUGGUAUUUUAAGUGUUACUGAUUGGUGCUACUCACAAAGCACAAGAAACAUAUUGUA